UCAAUGUACAGUUUUGACUUUCCUACCAUUUUAUUAUAUGUAUAGAUAUCAAGUGUACACGACCAUACGACAAUAAAUGAAAACACAGGUCGUAUUGGUAUAUAGAAAUAUCAUAAAACUAUCAGAAAAUAUUUUGAACCGUUUUUGAAAAAAUGAAAUUUUCGAACAAACUUAAUAUCGUAAAUUAAUAAAAUACAUAGUACGCCAUUUGUAAUUUAGAUUCACUGACCUCUGACUAAAGGCG
RNAcentral lists this unclassified non-coding RNA (244 nucleotides) under Melitaea cinxia (Glanville fritillary). RNAcentral describes it as "misc RNA ENSMCXG00005011459.1". The record is from RNAcentral. Lineage: Eukaryota; Metazoa; Arthropoda; Insecta; Lepidoptera; Nymphalidae.